RNAcentral lists this ribosomal RNA (601 nucleotides) under Clostridioides difficile. RNAcentral's name for it is "partial 23S ribosomal RNA". It matches the Rfam family "Bacterial large subunit ribosomal RNA", at positions 1 to 606 of the family's 2925-position model. The record is from RNAcentral. Lineage: Bacteria; Bacillati; Bacillota; Clostridia; Peptostreptococcales; Peptostreptococcaceae.
UGGUCAAGUUAUUAAGGGUGCAGGGCGGAUGCCUUGGCACUAGGAGCCGAUGAAGGACGUGAUAAGCUGCGAUAAGCUUCGGGGAGUUGCACGUAAACUUUGAUCCGAAGAUUUCCGAAUGAGGAAACUCACUUAGAGUAAUGUCUAAGUAUCAUUAAGUGAAUACAUAGCUUAAUGAGGGGAACUCAGGGAACUGAAACAUCUAAGUACCUGAAGGAAGAGAAAGAAAUUCGAUUCCGUAAGUAGCGGCGAGCGAACGCGGAAGAGCCCAAACCAAUAAAGUUUUCUUUAUUGGGGUUGCGGACAUAUCAUAACGAAGAGGUAUCGUAAUUGAAGAGGUUUGGAAAGACCCACCACAGAAGGUAAUAGUCCUGUAUGUUAAACGAGAAGACUUCAGAUAUGAUCCAGAGUACCACGGGACACGUGAAACCCUGUGGGAAGCAGGAGGGACCACCCUCCAAGGCUAAAUACUACCUAGUGACCGAUAGCGUAUAGUACCGUGAGGGAAAGGUGAAAAGAACCCCGGGAGGGGAGUGAAAUAGAACCUGAAACCCUGCACUUACAAGCUGUGGAAGCACAUUUCUUGUGUGACCGCGUACUU